RNAcentral lists this ribosomal RNA (440 nucleotides) under Actinomadura sp. YN-7-1. RNAcentral's name for it is "bacterial SSU rRNA". It matches the Rfam family "Bacterial small subunit ribosomal RNA", at positions 62 to 518 of the family's 1533-position model. The record is from RNAcentral. Lineage: Bacteria; Bacillati; Actinomycetota; Actinomycetes; Streptosporangiales; Thermomonosporaceae.
UCGAGCGGAAAGGCCCCUUCGGGGGUACUCGAGCGGCGAACGGGUGAGUAACACGUGAGCAACCUGCCCCUGACUCUGGGAUAAGCCCGGGAAACUGGGUCUAAUACCGGAUGUGACCAGCCUCCGCAUGGAGUGCUGGUGGAAAGUUUUUCGGUUGGGGAUGGGCUCGCGGCCUAUCAGCUUGUUGGUGGGGUGAUGGCCUACCAAGGCGACGACGGGUAACCGGCCUGAGAGGGCGACCGGUCACACUGGGACUGAGACACGGCCCAGACUCCUACGGGAGGCAGCAGUGGGGAAUAUUGCGCAAUGGGCGGAAGCCUGACGCAGCGACGCCGCGUGAGGGAUGACGGCCUUCGGGUUGUAAACCUCUUUCAGCAGGGACGAAGCUAACGUGACGGUACCUGCAGAAGAAGCGCCGGCUAACUACGUGCCAGCAGCGC